Molecule: ribosomal RNA, 472 nt
Filed under: Enterococcus faecalis
Lineage: Bacteria; Bacillati; Bacillota; Bacilli; Lactobacillales; Enterococcaceae
Description: partial 23S ribosomal RNA
Rfam family: Bacterial large subunit ribosomal RNA
Source: RNAcentral
GGUUAAGUGAAUAAGGGCGCACGGUGGAUGCCUUGGCACUAGGAGCCGAUGAAGGACGGGACUAACACCGAUAUGCUUUGGGGAGCUGUAAGUAAGCUAUGAUCCAGAGAUUUCCGAAUGGGGGAACCCAAUAUCUUUUAUAGGAUAUUACUUUUCAGUGAAUACAUAGCUGAUUAGAGGUAGACGCAGAGAACUGAAACAUCUUAGUACCUGCAGGAAGAGAAAGAAAAUUCGAUUCCCUGAGUAGCGGCGAGCGAAACGGGAAGAGCCCAAACCAACAAGCUUGCUUGUUGGGGUUGUAGGACUCCAAUAUGGUAGUCUGUUAGUAUAGUUGAAGGAUUUGGAAAAUUCCGCUAAAGAGGGUGAAAGCCCCGUAGACGAAAUGCUAACAACGCCUAGGAGGAUCCUGAGUACGGCGGAACACGAGAAAUUCCGUCGGAAUCCGCGGGGACCAUCCCGCAAGGCUAAAUAC